This is a long non-coding RNA of Ictalurus punctatus (channel catfish), 563 nucleotides long. RefSeq lists it as uncharacterized. The transcript is spliced from 2 exons. The record is from RefSeq and is a predicted model, not a curated record. NCBI's taxonomy places the organism in Eukaryota, Metazoa, Chordata, Actinopteri, Siluriformes, Ictaluridae.
CAGUGAGGCAACAGCAGAUACUGAAACUGCAGGUGAAGUCUGAUGGGAGUGUUCUUGAUCCUGAUGUGCAGUCGUCCAUUUUACUGCAGAUCAAGCAGAAGCUGAGAGAAAACGGCAUGUCGGAGAACACCACGGUGACCUGGAGGGUUCAGUCAGACGGAAACAUCUUCUACAAGGAGAAAAAGCGUGGCCCGUAACAUCUAAAUGCUCACUCUGUAGUUAACAGUUACUCCAAAGCUCAAAUAAUGUCAACUACAAUCUAACUGCAAUCUUAAUGAAAAGAAUAGAAAAAUGUUCAAAACAAUUUGACAUUGUAGUAUAGUGUAACCUGUUACGCCUUUCUAAUGGCUCUGUUUGAAUAGAUGGUUUAUACAUAACUACAUUAUUGUGCUGUGAUCAUUAGGAGGUCGGUAGAAUUUUUUUAGCCUGGGUGGGGGACCUGCAAAGUUUGAGAAUGUAAUAAGCAUCAUAUUCAGUUCAAUUAUUAGAAAUGUUUUAUUAAAAAGAUUGUACUAACCGUUAAUGUUCUGUUUACAUCAUUAAAUAAAAUACAUUUUAAUUGA